GGGGAAUAUUGGGCAAUGGACGCAAGUCUGACCCAGCGACGCCGCGUGCGGGAUGAAGGCCUUCGGGUUGUAAACCGCUUUCAGCAGGGAAGAAGCGAAAGUGACGGUACCUGCAAAAGAAGCACCGGCUAACUAUGUGCCAGCAGCCGCGGUAAUACAUAGGGUGCAAGCGUUGUCCGGAAUUAUUGGGCGUAAAGAGCUCGUAGGUGGUUCGUCACGUCGGAUGUGAAAAUCUGGGGCUCAACCCCAGACCUGCAUUCGAUACGAGCGAGCUAGAGUUUGGUAGGGGAGACUGGAAUUCCUGGUGUAGCGGUGGAAUGCGCAGAUAUCAGGAGGAACACCAAUGGCGAAGGCAGGUCUCUGAGCCAAUACUGACACUGAGGAGCGAGAGCGUGGGGAGCGAACA
RNAcentral lists this ribosomal RNA (406 nucleotides) under uncultured Actinomycetes bacterium. RNAcentral describes it as "bacterial SSU rRNA". It matches the Rfam family "Bacterial small subunit ribosomal RNA", at positions 356 to 774 of the family's 1533-position model. The record is from RNAcentral. Lineage: Bacteria; Bacillati; Actinomycetota; Actinomycetes.